ACGUAGGGUGCAAGCGUUGUCCGGAAUUAUUGGGCGUAAAGAGCUUGUAGGCGGUUUGUCGCGUCUGCUGUGAAAUUUCGGGGCUCAACCCCGAACUUGCAGUGGGUACGGGCAGACUAGAGUGUGGUAGGGGAGACUGGAAUUCCUGGUGUAGCGGUGAAAUGCGCAGAUAUCAGGAGGAACACCGAUGGCGAAGGCAGGUCUCUGGGCCACUACUGACGCUGAGAAGCGAAAGCAUGGGGAGCGAACAGGAUUAGAUACCCUGGUAGUCCAUGCCGUAAACGUUGGGAACUAGGUGUGGGCCUCAUUCCACGAGGUCCGUGCCGCAGCUAACGCAUUAAGUUCCCCGCCUGGGGAGUACGGCCGCAAGGCUA
This 374-nucleotide ribosomal RNA is filed under the name uncultured bacterium. RNAcentral's name for it is "bacterial SSU rRNA". It matches the Rfam family "Bacterial small subunit ribosomal RNA", at positions 525 to 896 of the family's 1533-position model. The record is from RNAcentral.